This is a long non-coding RNA of Eriocheir sinensis (Chinese mitten crab), 3367 nucleotides long. RefSeq lists it as uncharacterized. The record is from RefSeq and is a predicted model, not a curated record. NCBI's taxonomy places the organism in Eukaryota, Metazoa, Arthropoda, Malacostraca, Decapoda, Varunidae. The transcript has 5 exons.
GCCAAAUUUGUGGCUUUACCGUGUAGCAGCGAUGGGCCAAAUUUGUGGCUUUACCGUGUAGCAGCGAUGGGCCAAAUUUGUGGCUUUACCGUGCAGCAGCGAUGGGCCAAAUUUGUGGCUUUACCGUGUAGCAGCGACGGGCCAAAUUUGUGCCAUGAUAUAAACCCCCCAAAAUAGAUGACACAUAAACUGAUCGCAAAUGCUUUGAUAUAUAUUAUGAAAUGGAUUGUGUGAGUGACGAUUUUUUCUCAUUUUUCUUGCUUAGAGGGACCAUUAAGAGACAUGAUCCCCGCUGCUACCGGGUUAAGAUGCUGUCCAUAACGCUGGUUCUCUUGAAGGGCCUCUUUGACAGCCCUAGCCCACCAGUGGCACAGGCGAAUUUUAUUUACAGUGGGUACCGUGAUGUACGCCUCUUGCUUGGCCCAUGCUGCCCCCCGCUGCUCCACCUGAAUGAAGUCGCUGAAGUUACGGCAGCAUGUGGGUAACCUUCCGCCACUCAGCGAUCGGGGGUUGAAAAUUGUCAGCAUCCUUUGGCGGGACUCAAACUUUGGACCUCAGGCUCACCACUCAGCCACCGUCUCCCCAGCGAUAAAUUAUUAACAACCAGGUUUUAAUGCAGUUCUGUUAUUGGAAGAAAAAUUGAAGUGGCAGCACCCGGGUUCAUGAAUUGGGUGUAGUACUGAAGUUUUACCCUGAGGAAUGAGGUGGCUGGGAGACAUGUAGAGGGAGGGGAAAACACAAGCCAUACCAGUAAAAUUAACCCGGUACCAGCAACGGGCCAAAUUUGUGGCUUUACCGUGUACCAGCGACGGGCCAAAUUUGUGGCUUUACCGUGUACCAGCGACGGGCCAAAUUUGUGGCUUUAUCAUGUACCAGUGACGGGUUGAAGUGACGCUAUCGGCUUCAAUGCAAGGAGGAUAAUGAUGUGGGUGUUCAUUGAUCAUCCUUUUAUAUAGACCGGUCAGGAGCACUAGGGUAACAUGAAGCCAGGUCACGUCAUCAAUCUGGUCAAGCUAAGGUCUCCGAAGAUAGGUCAUGUCAUUCAGGUGUCAGGUGAGGAGCCCUCGGGUAACAAUACAACAUCAGAUGAGGUCUCGGGAUACAGGUCAGGUCAAUCAGGUAACAAUACAACAUCAGAUGAGGUCUCGGGAUACAGGUCAGGUCAAUCAGGUAACAAUACAACAUCAGAUGAGGUCUCGGGAUACAGGUCAGGUCAUUCAGGUAACAAUACAACAUCAGAUGAGGUCCCAGGAUACAGGUCAGGUCAUUCAGGUAACAAUACAACAUCAGAUGAGGUCUCGGGAUACAGGUCAGGUCAAUCAGGUAACAAUACAACAUCAGAUGAGGUCCCGGGAAACAGGUCAGGUCAAUCAGGUAACAAUACAACAUCAGAUGAGGUCCUAGGAAACAGGUCAGGUCAUUCAGGUAACAAUACAACAUCAGAUGAGGUCCCGGGAAACAGGUCAGGUCAUUCCAGUAACAAUAAAACAUCAGAUGAGGUCCCGGGAGAAAGGUCAGGUCAUCCAGGUGUCAGGUCAGGAGCACGCAGGUAACAAUACAACAUCAGAUGAGGUCUUGGGAUACAGGUCAGACCGGUAGACCACACUCUGAAGCAACACCACACUUGAGGCACACCGGGGCAGACCACAAAUACUGCCGUAGACACCAUACUUAAGUCCUUCUCUUCUCGUUCAUGACUUGAGGAAAUUGCGGUUAAUCUACCUAACUAACGCUUCUAAUACACCGAAAAAAUAGCAUGCAUAGGAUACUUCAUUUGCUUCACAUUUAAGGUUUUAGUUAACGAUUCAUACCUAUUUACCGCGUCAACGGCUUAAAUAUGUGGGGAUGCCUUGAAAAUCUCUAAGUCCCCCCCAAAAACCCCGGUUCCCCACAGGUCCCCAGGCUUGUGUUGGGGGGGAGGGGGGGGCUGGGGUGGUGGGGGGGGGGGGGAAAUAGGUGGUUCUGUGGUUUAAUUGCAAAUGUUAGUGAAUGUCUUCCCUCCCUCCCUCCCUCCUUCUCUAUUCUUCCUUUCUUCCCUCUCAAGACGCCUCUCCCUCCUUCAACCACGGGAGGAAGGGGCGUGAAAGGAGGAAAGGGUAGACGAUCCUUUUAACAGUGACUAUGACGACGAUAACAUCCACACACAUGCGGUUUCUUCUUGACAGCAUUAAAAUAAGUAUACAUUCGGCUAUAUGGGUAAGUGGAACAUGACCCAGCCUAUAUAAUACCUCAGCAACCCCAACUUCCAUUUCUUCCUUUCUCUAAGUAAAUACCACAUACCUCCCCACGACAAUUCCCUACAUGAAGCCUUGAGGUCACAGGUAUGAGGUGCCGUGAUGGGGCCGCGUGUCUCCCCCAGGAAAAGGCGUUACGAGUGUGAAAUAACUUGACACUUUCAAUGAUAUUUUUAUUUGGGUCCGCCAUUGAGCUUGACCUUGAUCGUGAUGUCACAGGUGGCUUGAGAUUUCUCCCGUUCUUUUAUUGACCCGGGAGCCGUUGCAAAGGCAUAUCCCGGGACUACACCGGAUCUCUGUAAAUCAAGUUCUAUACUACAUGGUUGAGAUGCGUUAGUGAAGAAACAGAAAAGACACAUUAGUGAAGAAAUAUAAAGAAACAUUAGUGAAGAAACAUUAUUUAUAGUAAAGAAACAUUAGUGAAGGAACAUUAUUUAUAGUAAAGAAACAUUAGUGAAGAAAUAUUAGCAAAAAAACAAUUAAGCACUAGUCAAGAAACAUAGUGAAGAAGCAUGGUGAAGAAAUAUUAGUAAAGAUACAUUAGUAAAAAAAAAAAAAAAAAAAGCAUGACAAGAAGCAUAGUGAAGAAGUAUUAUCCUACCGCAAUUAACAAUAAACUAUCAAUCAAUCAACCAAGCUUUUUAAUUAAGGCUUUUAGAGAGGCUUAUCCCACCCCUUGAGAAGCACCGAUAGAAAGACGGAAAUUGAAAUGUAAACAAUGCAGUGGCGGGCGCGGUGACGGCCACAACCCAAUGACCUCCUUUUUCUGUUCCCGGGCGAGGUGAAAAAGGGUGAACAGUCUCCCGAACAUAAAACAAACUACUAUGAACAUCCCUUUUAUAGAGUUCGGUGAUGGCAAGAAAGAUAACACAUUUGAGGACAGUCAGGACACCACCACACGGGAAAUCUUUGGGGGAAAUCUUUGGUGUCGAGUAAAAAAAAAUGGCCGUUAAUUAGGUAAGGAAAAUGUGGCUUGUUACAGGAGGUUACAGUGGCGUGUGUUGGAGUGUGGAACCGGCCCAGAGUGACGGUUAUUCUUUAGUGACCAUGGACACGACAGCCGAGGGUGGAAGGGACCGAAGAGUGAAGACGAGGGCGAACCAUCGACUGUCAGCGGGGCAGCUUGUGGGAAG